Molecule: ribosomal RNA, 925 nt
Filed under: Escherichia coli
Lineage: Bacteria; Pseudomonadati; Pseudomonadota; Gammaproteobacteria; Enterobacterales; Enterobacteriaceae
Description: partial 23S ribosomal RNA
Rfam family: Bacterial large subunit ribosomal RNA
Source: RNAcentral
CAUAGGUUAAUGAGGCGAACCGGGGGAACUGAAACAUCUAAGUACCCCGAGGAAAAGAAAUCAACCGAGAUUCCCCCAGUAGCGGCGAGCGAACGGGGAGCAGCCCAGAGCCUGAAUCAGUGUGUGUGUUAGUGGAAGCGUCUGGAAAGGCGCGCGAUACAGGGUGACAGCCCCGUACACAAAAAUGCACAUGCUGUGAGCUCGAUGAGUAGGGCGGGACACGUGGUAUCCUGUCUGAAUAUGGGGGGACCAUCCUCCAAGGCUAAAUACUCCUGACUGACCGAUAGUGAACCAGUACCGUGAGGGAAAGGCGAAAAGAACCCCGGCGAGGGGAGUGAAAAAGAACCUGAAACCGUGUACGUACAAGCAGUGGGAGCACGCUUAGGCGUGUGACUGCGUACCUUUUGUAUAAUGGGUCAGCGACUUAUAUUCUGUAGCAAGGUUAACCGAAUAGGGGAGCCGAAGGGAAACCGAGUCUUAACUGGGCGUUAAGUUGCAGGGUAUAGACCCGAAACCCGGUGAUCUAGCCAUGGGCAGGUUGAAGGUUGGGUAACACUAACUGGAGGACCGAACCGACUAAUGUUGAAAAAUUAGCGGAUGACUUGUGGCUGGGGGUGAAAGGCCAAUCAAACCGGGAGAUAGCUGGUUCUCCCCGAAAGCUAUUUAGGUAGCGCCUCGUGAAUUCAUCUCCGGGGGUAGAGCACUGUUUCGGCAAGGGGGUCAUCCCGACUUACCAACCCGAUGCAAACUGCGAAUACCGGAGAAUGUUAUCACGGGAGACACACGGCGGGUGCUAACGUCCGUCGUGAAGAGGGAAACAACCCAGACCGCCAGCUAAGGUCCCAAAGUCAUGGUUAAGUGGGAAACGAUGUGGGAAGGCCCAGACAGCCAGGAUGUUGGCUUAGAAGCAGCCAUCAUUUAAAGA